This 301-nucleotide ribosomal RNA is filed under the name uncultured bacterium. Its description in RNAcentral is "partial 16S ribosomal RNA". It matches the Rfam family "Bacterial small subunit ribosomal RNA", at positions 509 to 808 of the family's 1533-position model. The record is from RNAcentral.
CAGUCGCCGCGGUAAUACGAAGGGGGCUAGCGUUGUUCGGAUUUACUGGGCGUAAAGCGCACGUAGGCGGAUCGAUCAGUCAGGGGUGAAAUCCCAGAGCUCAACUCUGGAACUGCCUUUGAUACUGUCGAUCUGGAGUAUGGAAGAGGUGAGUGGAAUUCCGAGUGUAGAGGUGAAAUUCGUAGAUAUUCGGAAGAACACCAGUGGCGAAGGCAGCUCACUGGCUCAUACUAGACGCUGAGGUGCGAAAGCGUGGGGAGCAAACAGGAUUAGAUACCCCGGUAGUCCCUGUCUCUAUACC